CUUUCACUUACUGAAGUUCACAAGCUGUUUGCUUUACAAAUUCACCUAGCAACAUGAAAGCAGCAGAUGUCUGCAGCUGGUGUGGGUCUUUAUUACAGCAUGCUGUAAUGAACCAAAAGGGCUCUGCUGAACUGACAUACCACAAUAAAC
Molecule: long non-coding RNA, 150 nt
Organism: Mobula hypostoma (lesser devil ray)
Lineage: Eukaryota; Metazoa; Chordata; Chondrichthyes; Myliobatiformes; Myliobatidae
Exons: 3
Source: RefSeq, a predicted model, not a curated record